This 19-nucleotide unclassified non-coding RNA is filed under the name Mus musculus (house mouse). RNAcentral's name for it is "oocyte_clustered_small_RNA11446". Lineage: Eukaryota; Metazoa; Chordata; Mammalia; Rodentia; Muridae. The record is from RNAcentral.
CCCGAGACGAGAAAUCCUG